RNAcentral lists this ribosomal RNA (274 nucleotides) under uncultured bacterium. Its description in RNAcentral is "partial 16S ribosomal RNA". It matches the Rfam family "Bacterial small subunit ribosomal RNA", at positions 523 to 796 of the family's 1533-position model. The record is from RNAcentral.
AUACGGAGGGUGCAAGCGUUACUCGGAAUCACUGGGCGUAAAGGACGCGUAGGCGGGUUGGUAAGUCAGGUGUGAAAUCCUACAGCUUAACUGUAGAACUGCACUUGAAACUACCAACCUAGAGUAUGGGAGGGGGAGAUGGAAUUAGUGGUGUAGGGGUAAAAUCCGUAGAUAUCACUAGGAAUACCGAAAGCGAAGGCGAUCUCCUGGAACAUAACUGACGCUAAGGCGUGAAAGCGUGGGGAGUAAACAGGAUUAGAAACCCCGGUAGUCC